AUUCUUUUUUUCAAAAAUUAAAUUUUCCCUAUCUAAGGUUGACACGUGUCCAGUAAUCUGAACAUAACCUUUCCCUUACUCCUACUGCGCUUUCUCUCUCUCUUUGAACCAAAAUUUGCUUUCUAUGAACCAAAAUCUCCUCUUUUUGACACAAAACCCAUUCUCUCUCUUUGGGACAAGACCCAAUCACUUUCUCUCUGAACCAAGAUCCUUUCUCUUUCUCUCUGAACCAAGAUCCUUUCUCUUUGAACAAAAACCCUCUCUCUUAAAUUACCCUUUCAUGACUUCUUAAUCCCAAACCUUCUCUAAAAAAAACAUCAAUUAAAAGAAUCGGAAAGCAAAGAGAAAGAAGAAGCUACCAAUUGGGGUUUCAUGGAAGCUAUUGCAAUGGCGGAAAACGGCAGGGCUUUGGGUGUUCCAGGAGGCAGCGUGGCUUGCGAGGCAGAGGACGCGAACUAUCGUCGGAAAUCGUGUCACCGACGUGUAUGUUUAAGUUCUAUUUCAGAAGGUUGCAGCAGUGGCAGGUAGUAUGGUUUGAAUCAGUGGUUUGUGGGUGUUUUCGGUUCCUCGCCGGUGAGGUACAGGAGUUCUGGUGUGGAAACUAUGUGAUCGGAGGCACACCUUCCAACGACGAAAAAACGGUGGAUUCCCUUGUUUCUUCUCUUUUAUUUUUCCGGUUGCAGCCAUCAUCAACAACAACGGAAAACUUCAUCCCAAGACUGCUCUCAGUACAUCCAUAAUUAGUAUUAUUGGUUUCUCCAAAGCCAAUACCGUUCAAGCUCAAAGUAGUAUUACCGAUCCUAAGCUCAGCAUCAUGAGGAAACAAUACAACUUUCUCGUUCAAAUCCAUUAUCCAGAUGUUGUGCACUACAGCUACAGGAGGUUGAAGUAGCAGAACAGUUCACCACAUACUACUACAAGAUCCACAUAUCUACCAGACUAGAAAAAGAAAUUUAAGCAUAAAGCAUCAGCCGCUUACAAAGCCUGAUGUAUCUGAUCUAUCCAUUUUCACACCAUCCCACAACGGUACUGCGUUGCACGGUUUAGAAAGUUUCAGAGGAAGGUCCAUAUGCGGCGUAUUGAUUGGAUCGAUUCUCCGAUGUUUUCAUGGUUGUGGCUGUGUAGUGCGAGUUGUUGGAUUGUUGGAGAGUUAUGGUACAAUGCGGUUCAUAUGGAAAUGAGUUUCGCUGGAACUUGUUGUUGUGUUUCGCAGUGAGAAGACCUGAGUUGUGUUACCGUGGUGGAGUUUGGUGUAGUGAUGUCGUUUGUUGUAGGCGAUGGAGACACAAACGGACAGGAAACACGGAGGUAGCACACUUUCUAACAACUUUGGCACGGUGGUAAUUGCUGAGAUGUAAGUGAUGUUGUUGUUGCAUACCAACUUGAUUGAAACAGCAGCAGAAACUCGUAACAGAGGUUGUCGCAUGCCAACUUUGAUGUGUCACUGUGAGGUGUGGUGGAGGAGUAUGGAUUUAUGUUGUGUUAAGGAUGCAAGGUGUACGUAUGUUGGCGGUGUAUAUGUGUCAAAGGUGGAGAUAUCGAUAGAGGCUUAUGGUGUGAGUUUUGAAGGUUAUGGAUAUAAAUGUUAUGGUUGUUUUGAGAAAGAAGGUGAAGUGAGUCCAAGGUCUUGACUUGAAAAAUGAAGAAGUAUGUAGCUUGAGAGGUUUUGAAAGAGAAGUGUGGACAAUCCAUGUGUUACAGUGUGUAAAAGAGAUUAUUACAGGGCUUCAAAAAUGUUGUUCAUUAAACUCAUGUUUUCAAGCUAUUUCCUCCAUAAAGCUUCAGUGGUCAGUGGUAUUUGUAGAAUGGCUAAGGUUAUUCAGGGUGAUAGUGAAGAGCCUCGUUUUUUUUUCAAGGAUCUUUUGUCGUGGUAGCUAUUGUAGUAUCUCAUUUUAUGAUAAGGAAGGAAGAUCAAGUGUUGUCUCAAAGGUGUUUUGUUGUAUAGCAUGGCUAUGGUGUGUCACGAGACAAAAUGUUACAUGGAGAAGGAAGAUUCUUCUUUUCUCACCAACUGACCAACUUAUCUCAAUCUUUCUUUUCUCUUUUUGGGAUUUCAAAUUGAAAUAUGAGAUAGAGUUGUAGCAAUUGGAUAGGGGCGCCGCUCCCUCCUCCUAUUAGCCUCUUCCACAAUCUUAUUUAUACCAAAACUUAGGGUUA
Molecule: long non-coding RNA, 2157 nt
Organism: Lathyrus oleraceus (garden pea)
Lineage: Eukaryota; Viridiplantae; Streptophyta; Magnoliopsida; Fabales; Fabaceae
Exons: 2
Source: RefSeq, a predicted model, not a curated record